GCCUUCGUGGUGUAACGGUAGCACAAUCGGCGCGUAAUCGAGAGGUCUGGGUUCGAGUCCCGGCGAGGGGCA
Molecule: non-coding RNA, 72 nt
Organism: Stegodyphus mimosarum
Lineage: Eukaryota; Metazoa; Arthropoda; Arachnida; Araneae; Eresidae
Source: Rfam